GGGGGUAUGGCGGAAUCGGUAGACGCUGUAGAUUUAAAAUCUGCUGACCGUAAGGUCGUGGGAGUUCAAGUCUCCCUACCCCCA
Molecule: transfer RNA, 84 nt
Filed under: Pleurocapsa minor
Lineage: Bacteria; Bacillati; Cyanobacteriota; Cyanophyceae; Pleurocapsales; Pleurocapsaceae
Also listed under: 3 other names
Description: tRNA-Leu
Rfam family: tRNA
About the family: Transfer RNA (tRNA) molecules are approximately 80 nucleotides in length. Their secondary structure includes four short double-helical elements and three loops (D, anti-codon, and T loops).
Source: RNAcentral